CCAUGAAUAUCAUCAGGACCAUUCACAGCAACAGCAACAACAACAACAUUCACAUAAUGCACAUGUUUUGCCUUCCAUUAAACUAAUCUUAUAAGCAGACAGACAAGUACAACAUAUAAACGAAAAUCGUGUCUGUAACUGAGAAAAGAAAUAUU
Molecule: long non-coding RNA, 155 nt
Organism: Musca vetustissima
Lineage: Eukaryota; Metazoa; Arthropoda; Insecta; Diptera; Muscidae
Exons: 2
Source: RefSeq, a predicted model, not a curated record